Molecule: ribosomal RNA, 432 nt
Filed under: uncultured bacterium
Lineage: Bacteria
Description: partial 16S ribosomal RNA
Rfam family: Bacterial small subunit ribosomal RNA
Source: RNAcentral
AGCGAACGCUGGCGGCAGGCCUAACACAUGCAAGUCGAACGGAUCCUUCGGGAUUAGUGGCGGACGGGUGAGUAACACGUGGGAACGUGCCCUUUGGUUCGGAACAACUCAGGGAAACUUGAGCUAAUACCGGAUGUGCCCUUCGGGGGAAAGAUUUAUCGCCAUUGGAGCGGCCCGCGUCUGAUUAGCUAGUUGGUGAGGUAACGGCCCACCAAGGCGACGAUCAGUAGCUGGUCCGAGAGGAUGAUCAGCCACACUGGGACUGAGACACGGCCCAGACUCCUACGGGAGGCAGCAGUGGGGAAUCUUGCGCAAUGGGCGAAAGCCUGACGCAGCCAUGCCGCGUGAAUGAUGAAGGUCUUAGGAUUGUAAAAUUCUUUCAGCGGGGACGAUAAUGACGGUACCCGCAGAAGAAGCUCCGGCUAACUUCGU